Molecule: ribosomal RNA, 865 nt
Filed under: Stenotrophomonas sp. C21
Lineage: Bacteria; Pseudomonadati; Pseudomonadota; Gammaproteobacteria; Lysobacterales; Lysobacteraceae
Description: bacterial SSU rRNA
Rfam family: Bacterial small subunit ribosomal RNA
Source: RNAcentral
CAGCCACACUGGAACUGAGACACGGUCCAGACUCCUACGGGAGGCAGCAGUGGGGAAUAUUGGACAAUGGGCGCAAGCCGACCAGCCAUACCGCGUGGGUGAAGAAGGCCUUCGGGUUGUAAAGCCCUUUUGUUGGGAAAGAAAUCCAGCCGGCUAAUACCUGGUUGGGAUGACGGUACCCAAAGAAUAAGCACCGGCUAACUUCUGCAGCAGCCGCGGUAAUACGAAGGGUGCAAGCGUUACUCGGAAUUACUGGGCGUAAAGCGUGCGUAGGUGGUUGUUUAAGUCUGUUGUGAAAGCCCUGGGCUCAACCUGGGAACUGCAGUGGAAAUGGAAACUAGAGUGUGGUAGAGGGUAGCGGAAUUCCCGGUGUAGCAGUGAAAUGCGUAGAGAUCGGGAGAACAUCCAUGGCGAAGGCAGCUACCUGGACCAACACUGACACUGAGGCACGAAAGCGGGGGACAAACAGGAUUAGAUCCCUGGUAGUCCACGCCCUAAACGAUGCGAACUGGAUGUUGGGUGCAAUUUGGCACGCAGUAUCGAAGCUAACGCGUUAAGUUCGCCGCCUGGGGAGUACGGUCGCAGACUGAACUCAAAGGAAUUGACGGGGGCCCGCACAAGCGGUGGAGUAUGGGUUUAAUUCGAUGCAACGCGAAGAACCUUACCUGGCCUUGACAUGUCGAGAACUUUCCAGAGAUGGAUUGGUGCCUCGGGAAUCGAACACAGGUGCUGCAUGGCUGUCGUCAGCUCGUGUCGUGAGAUGUUGGGUUAAGUCCCGCAACGAGCGCAACCCUUGUCCUUAGUUGCCAGCACGUAAUGGUGGGAACUCUAAGGAACCGCCGGGACAAACCGGAGGAAGGUGGGG